Molecule: long non-coding RNA, 5964 nt
Organism: Macaca mulatta (Rhesus monkey)
Lineage: Eukaryota; Metazoa; Chordata; Mammalia; Primates; Cercopithecidae
Source: RefSeq, a predicted model, not a curated record
UGGGAUUAUAGGCGUGAGCCACUGCGCCCGCCUGGUUCUUUGGGUUUUUAAAAUAAACAUACCUGUAAGAAGAGUACAUCUAGUGCUCUUGGCUUUCCAAUAUGUAGAAUACACUUUAAAAUCUGGUUCAAGUUUAGUUUAUAAGUAUUUUCUCUCUCAUGAAUAAAACUCUAUGUUUCCUUCGGCAUUUGAGGUAAAAAUGGGACAAUUAGGAGAAACAAAUUUUAGGUGUUUAGUCUCUUUUGAAUGAAGGAAAAACUCCCUAGAAAAAGUUCAGAGUGUGAAAUUUGAAAUGUAACUUGGUGCCACCCGAGGCUGGUUUGAUUCUCGGUAACUGCUGUAUUUAGGUACUAAGAGUCAGGGCUCUAGGAAGCUUAGAUCCCUCCUGGGCAAAUGUGACUGAUCUCGUCCCUCCUUUUUCCUUCUGCCUAAGCCUGCAGGGUGCUGUUAGCCUGGACUAGCACACUUAGAUUCCAUCUUUCAGAGUGGUUUCCGCAGUCGCCUGGGUCACUGGCGCCUAAUGAAAAGCUCCCAGAGGUUAUUCCAAAGUCUCUUGUGUUACUCCUGUGCUCCAUUUCUCAGUUUUAGGUAUUCUGUUAUCUCUGUAACCUAAAUUCUGUUAUUUCUGAAAGAAAAAUAUACAAUGUAUAUUCAUGCAUUUAAAGAUGGACCAAGUAGGCACAAAAAAAGGCAAAAUGUGGAAUGCUAUUUACUCAGUUCUUCCAUUUGUAUGAAAAUGGAAACAGAGGUGUAUGUAGGGAUAUACUUGUAUAUGUGCACAUAUUUCUACAAGGAUAGCAGUGAUGUUCAAAAUAUUUAACAACUGGUUCAGCACUGACACAGAAGUAGGUGCUGGUUUUAGAGCUCAAGGGAUUCUGGAGGUCCCCUAACAUCUAUGUAAUAAUGGAUCUAGACUCUGGGGGGCAGCACUCCAAGGCCAUGCCAGGCAGCCACCAACUGCUUCUCUGGGGAAGGGGGCUGAGGGCAGGAGGGACUUAUUUUUCAAUAUGCCCUUUAGUGCUGUUUGAAAGGUUAUUUUUUGUUUGAAUCCUAUUUAUGUGCACGUAGGUAGAUUUUCAUUUUGUUUAGCUUAGGAGAUAAGUCUUACUUUUAGAAUUUGUUUGUGGACAUUUCUGUCUAGUUAUUUGCCUCCAACCUGUCUCUAGCCUCAAGGCCAUUUCCUUUAGUUCCAUUUUGCUGAAUCCUCCACGGAGAGCUCUCCUUAAGCUUCUUAAGCCCCUCUGUUUGAGGGGAAGGGAAGACCUGGCUGAACUCCCUCUCAUAAUCUCUCAGUUCUCCCCAACCCCAACACUGGUGUCUGAGUCUCCUUUCAUUGCUUAUCUUGAGCCUCUUGUCUCUCCACCUACCAGACCUCAAUUCCAAUUCCAUUAUUAACCAGUAUAGGCAUCACGGCAUCACACUGCCUAAUCUUAUGAUCAGAAAAUAAGUGCUUUUUUUUUUUUUUUUGCGUUCCCACAACUUUUGUGCAUAUGGAGAAUGAGGUGUCCUAUACACACCAGCCCUAAUGAGAAUAGUUCUUAUAUUAGUGGUAACACUUACAUGGCUUGAGCCUCCACCUGCCUAAUGCGGACACACUGCUCCCUUCCACCUUCCCAUUAUUACUGGGAGGCAGGAUAUGGUGAUCCCUGCUAUGUGCUUCCUCUCUUGCCUGUUCUUCCACUUUGAGCUUCUUGUUGACCCCCUCCUGCCACGAGGCCACUGGGGGGCAGUGUCUCGUCUCAGUCAAAGUUGCUUUCUCCCUGGGCCCCAAAGGCCAUCAACCGCACUGUUCCUAAGUUGUGGAACGAAGCCUCUUCUCUUCCACUUUGCCUCACAUUUUUUCACUUGGGACCCCAAAGAGCAUGACAUGUAUUCAUUGUCUCACUUGAGCCCCUUCCCUCUCUACCUGCAGGUUCUCUCUCUGUAGAGGUCAGGCAUGAGUCUAUGGAGCAAGUACAGGGAACCAAAGUCACCCCACCCCCAUCCCAAGGCUGUCCUUUCCCACUCUCCUUUCUCCACUCUAAGAUACCACGAGACCAUUUUCCGGCAGUCACCUUCGCUUCAGGCUAAUCAGCACCUACAGCCAGGUCAACUGCUCCCUUAGAUUUAUCAGACCAAGUUGACUGUUUGUGGUGGGCACUACUGGGCUCAAGCUGAUAGCCUGGCCAUGCGUAUUCUGUUAAUGCCUAUCUUACUGUGUGGCACUUGUCUGCAGACAUGUCUGCUUCCCCCGUUAGACUGUGGCUUCCUUGAAAGUGAGCUCCUAACUGUGUGGUGCUCAUUUUUGUAUCUCCAGCAUGCAGUCCCCUGCCUGUUACACAGCUGACCUUGGUAAAUAGUUUUGAAAGAAUAAAUGAACACAGCCCAAUUAGCGGAGAUAUGCCAAAAGAAACAGCCCAUCUUUGCCAACACAUGCAGAGGGAGAGAAGCUCUUCUUGAAGAGGACCCACUUUCUUCUAGAGCAGCCACUCACAGCUCUCUCGACUCCUUGGACCCUCAGGGUUGGAGAAGACCCAGGGUUAGGAUAGCACUUUUGGGGGAGGUUUCAUUGACCUUGUUUUGAAAGAAUAACAUGUUGAAGAGCCAGGUGACUAGUUACAUUUUAUUGUGUACCUGCCAGUUGAAAAAAACAAGGUCAAAAACACAAAAGGAUAGAACAUGGCAAAACAUAUUGAUUAGACAGGGGAAAGCAGAUGACACACAGGGACAGGACAUUUUAUUUUUAUCAUUCCAAAUUCAGAGAAAUAUAAUUAACUCCAUGCUCGGUUCACCUAAGUUUUUGUAGCAGAGGUGAACGUGACAGAUUGAGGCACAAAUUUGUUAAUGCUGAAUAUUGGGCAUUUCUUCUGUUAUUAUUUACUGGACAUAAUCUGAUGUCAUGUGAUAGACCAUGAUAUGUAAAUGACUUCAAUCAGGAAAAAAGAUAACUUAUGUAACUUUAUCUGGCUUUAUUCUCUACACAUACUGAGAAGCAAACCCAUUAAUCACAGUCUAGGCAGAAACUCUUCAAGUAGUGUGUGAGACAAACAGAGGUAUUAAUUAUAUUUAUUAUGGUAAUAAUAUACUUAACACUUCCUUCAAGUCAUGAUAGUUGCAGAAAUUGGGAAAAAUAAGAAUACUCUAGCAGACUUACAGAUACUCAGUGGCAGUAUCACAAAUAAUCAUAAUCACAAUAAUUUCAGAGAUGAGGAAGCAGAGAGAGAGGGAGAGAGGUGUUAAACAAUUUGUUAAACAUCACACAGCUGGUAAGGAGUCUCUCUAAUUCCAAAGCAUGGCUUCUUUCCUCUACACAGCAGUGCCUCCCCAAUUAGAGAAUGUUAUAGUGUAAAAUCAUCAGAGGAAUAAUGUGAUUUCCAGUAAUUUUUAAAACGAUAUUGUCUGGUCACUUGUUCUGGUUUCUCUGUUCUACAUAACAGUAAUGCACCCCAUAAGGACGUUUUGGUCAAUAAUGGGCUGCAUAUAUGGUGGUGGUCCUGUAAGAUUAUAAUGGACCUGAAAAAUCCCCAUUGCCUAAUAACAUAGCUUUUGUCACAUAGCACAGACUCGUGGGUGUGGUGAUGCUGGUGUAAACAAACCUACCACACUGCCAGCCUUAUGAAAGUAUAGCACAUGCAUUAUGUACAGUACAUAAUACUUUAUAAUGGUAAUAAGUGUUCCUUAUGUGUUUACUAUACUUUUAAUUGUUAUUUUAGAGGGUACUGCUUCUACUUAUAUUUUUAAAACUUAACUGUGAAAGCACCUCAGGCAGGUCCUUUGGCAGGUAUUCCAGAAGAAGCAUUGUCAUCAUAGGAGAUGACAGCUCCGUGUGUGUUAUUGCUGCUGAAGACCUUCCAGUGGGACAAGAUGUGGAAGUGGAAGACAGUGAUAUUGAUGAUCCUGACCUGUGCAGGUCUAGGCUAAGAUAACUCAGCCUACUUAAAGCCCACCAGAAAGUCAGCCAACAAAUCUCCCAACUCACUCACCCACCAUCAACCCAUAAACUCGCCAGCGUGUAUUGAAGGCCUACCUUGUUGUGCUUGACACAGUGUUUGGUGCCAUGUGGAAUGACAAAGCAGGACCAGACAGCGUCCCUGCCACCCUGGUGCUUGUAAUCUAGUUGGAGAGAUACGAUAAAAAUAAAUGACACAAUUACAGAAUCUGACAGAAUGUAAUAAAGUGCUAAAUUGUGUGGUACAGACAAUUAGAGAACAAGACAGUAUAUAAUAAAGUGCUAAUUGUGUGGUACAGACAAUAAGUAUAAUAGGAGUUCAGUGAAGGGAUAGAUGAGUGUGGGCUGCAGUCUUCAGGGAAGGCUUCUCAUCAUGUCAGUGCUGCCGUGUUUAUCCAGUGCAUGACGGGAAAUGGAAUAUGAAAUAGAAGAUGGAUUAUGAACAGAAUAAUGGUGCUGAACUGUGGUAUCUCUUCUCAGGCUGGAUGAACACAGAAAGAGAGUCCUUUGAAAGGUAGCAUUCUCCAUUAAAAAAAAUCAAAUAGAGAAAUACCUUAUUUUCUUUAUUAGUUGUGUUAUAGAUAAUUUCUACAGAAACUUAAAAUCAUAUUUUAAAUUGAAUAAUGUUUUCAAUGUACCAGGAAGCUCACUAUUUAAAGGAGCCAUGUUGUAAAUCCUUUUCAUAAAUGAAAAAUACUUUUGCAUUAUUGAUGAUCACUUGUUUAUAAAAAAUUCCUCAAAGCUAAUAGUAAAUAGGUACUCUCAUACACUACUGGUGGGAUUGAUGAACCUUUUACAAGGUAACUUGGCAAUGUGUACCUAAAAUUUUGACAAUGUGCAUAUUGUUCAACCAAUCAGUUUCACUUCUGGGAAUUUAUCCUAAGGACGUAAUAAUCAUAGCUGACUGCAAGAAUAACUUUACUACAAUGAUAAUUAUCACAGCGUUAGGAUAAACUGGGAACAAUCUAAAUGCCCCCAAGGAGAGGACUGAUGAAAUAAACACAUAUUAAUAAAAUGGAAUGUAUAGUCACUAAAGUGUUACUGUAAAAAUAGGUAAUGCUGUGGGAAGUGUUCACAAUACAUAGAUAAGUGAAAAAAGCAAAUUUGAAAACUUGAAGAGUAUGAUUCCAUUUUGUUAAAAUGUGUUUUAUGCAUAAAAACAUGUUUUAUUCACAGAAACACAUUUGAGUGGUGAGGUGAUACAUGAUUUCCACUUCUUUAUGCUUUUUUGAAAUUUCCAAAUGUUUUCCAAGUUACAUGGUUUAUUUUGUAAUAAGACAUAUAUUAAAAUUCUACAGUUCUCUGAUUUAAUUUGCUUUGAAAGUUGUGAUUGUCAUAAAUUAGAUUGCCAUCUCUAGAGCCAAAGGUCUUGUGGGACAAGUAACUUCUGGGACCAGAGACAAACACGAGAAGUAUUAUUCCUUUUUCUUUUGAAUUAUAAAUGAUUUAUAUUAGCAAAAUGUAUACCUUCUUUCCUUAAACUCAUAUUCAUGUGGGAGCUGUUUGGGAGGGACACAUACUCUUUAAGGCUUAUACAACGUGAAUUUUUAGCAGCAGAGCCUGCCAGAGUGGGUGGAAAGCCCAGGGCAUGGAUUAAUUUUUAAGACGUCUGGAAUACUAAAAAUAAAAAUAAGAAAAAUGUAGAAGUAAGUGUAGAUGUGCUGAAACAGAGUUUCAAAAAUUGUGAUGAUUUUAAAUGUUUAUCUUGAACAAACUGAUGCCUUUAACACAGUAUACAGGAACAGAAAGUAAAACUUCAUGGUGACAUUAUGUCAAAGGCUGGAAUUGGAGAUCUUUGGUGCAUGCAGGAUCAAGGCCAAAUUAGGCUCUGCCUGGAAACCAUGCAGAGGAUGUGGAAUUAUUGAAAAAAAUCAGAAAAUAUGUAGAGAGGAUUUUGGAAUUUCUGGUCCAAGGGAUUUUCCAUGUCUAAAGUGAAAACAAAAUAGUUUUCUUCUGUUCCAAGAACUUUAUUUAGAACUGUUUUGAAAGGGGCCUUUCUCUGAAACAUUUCAAUACAAAACCACAUUAUUUUCUCA